GUUAGAUUGGAUCCGGUUUUCAGUCGAUCGAUGUCGAUGCAUCUUCUCAUUUGUGUAUGAAAUUCCGAGCUGGCGGGUUGUUCUUUCGUUAGACACCUUCAUCAGUGAUUCUUUAGAAGUUUUUAAUCCGUGGUGGUGAAAAUUUUCAUAAUUUCUUGAUCGAUUUCAGAAGUUUUUCGGUCCAUCGCGUUUUUUUCAUUAUUGUAUUUGCCGCUAAUUUGCGAGUCGUUUUUAGCGAAGGAAGUUGUCCUUUGCUCAACUACAUCUUCCGAGCAAGUGUUGUGUGUGCGUUCCUGUGAGAGUUCUUCCGCUGUGAUAGCAAUGUGUUAUUUUUAGUCUUGCCGCUAAUUGUCUUCAGAAGAGGAGAAGUUUGCGUGUAACCGGCAACAACCAAUCCGACCGUAACUGUCCUCCGCGGUACUAGGUAGUGCCAGUAGUGAACGGUGUGAAUUCGGAUUCGAACGUGAAAUCAAGUGCCCCGUACUACUACUUUUUCGGUGAGAGGCUGAAUUUGUACGUCGACCUGCUGCCAUUAUCAUCGCUAUCCGGAGCGGCAAAAGCGGGACCCGCAUUUGAAGAGGAAUAAUUAUGUCUAAAUUCGCUUGGGUGACGUUAGCGACAAAUGAUUCAUACUCGUUGGGCGCGCUCGUGGUGGCGCAUUCGCUCAAGCGAGUGCACACAGCCCACCAGCUGGCCGUCCUGAUAACGCCCGGCGUUUCGGAAGCAAUGAAAAACAAGCUUCGUGCCGUGUUCGACGUGGUGGAAGAGGUCAAUCUGCUGGACUCCAAGGACGCGGCUAACCUGGCUUUGCUGAAGCGCCCCGAGCUGGGAAUUACCUUCACAAAGUUGCACUGUUGGCGGCUGGUGCAGUACGAGAAGUGCGUUUUUCUUGACGCUGAUACGCUUGUGCUGCGUAACUGUGACGAACUGUUCGAACGCGAAGAACUGUCCGCUGCACCGGACGUCGGUUGGCCCGAUUGCUUCAACUCCGGCGUGUACGUUUAUCGGCCUAGCUUGGAUACGUUCUCCAGUUUGCUGCAAUUUGCCGUCACCAAUGGCAGUUUCGAUGGGGGCGAUCAGGGUCUGCUCAAUUCGUACUUCUCCGACUGGGCCUCCAAGGAUAUUUCGAAGCACCUACCCUUUGUGUACAAUACUUCGUCGGUGGCCUCGUACUCGUAUCUACCAGCAUUUAAGCAAUUCGGACAAAACACGAAGAUCCUACACUUUAUUGGAACGGCCAAACCGUGGUUGCAAAAUUUCAACUCCGAGACGCGUAAAGUGUACGUCCCUGGCGGUUAUCAGCAUCUAGCCAACUUCCUGCAAUACUGGUGGGAUAUCUUCUGCGAGGAUGUCCACUCACGUCUCUCCUCAGAGAUGCAAAAGGUUUUCAGCCGUUGGAUUGAACCAAACAAGGUCAGUAGUGGUACGAACCGUUCCUCCGGAACUGGAAGCUUCUAUACCGAAGGAAUUCCCAACAUUGGCGGUGGUGGUUUCGACGACUAUAAUGGUAAUGACUAUCGUCAGCACUGGCAAGAGCUGACCGUGAAUUACGAUACCCCGGUCGAGUACGUUGAUCCGUGGGAAGAAUAUCUCCGAAGGCAGGAAGUGGAACGCGAGCAAAGAGCUCGCGAACAGCAGAGAAUCGAAGAGGAAAGACUGUACUUCCAGUAUCUGGACAAUCAGCGUCUGCAAGAACAGCAGCAGCGCCAGCAACAUGAACAGCAACAAGCGCAACAACAUCAUGCUUAUCAUCAACAAGAUCAUACGCAUCACCAUCAUCACCAAGAUCAUCGUCAUCACGAUCACUACCAAGAUGCUAAUGUUUUUCAGAGCACAGAACAGUGGGUUGAACAAAUACAUAGGCAUGACCAGGGGGGUCACUGGGAGCCGGCACCACCGCCUGUAGAUAUGCAAUCAAAUCAGGUAGAGGUUGGUGGCAGCGAUCGGGGUGGUGGUGGUGGUAACAGUAACUGGCAUUCUAUCGAUACACAUCAAGCCCAACAACCACCACCGCCGGAUCAGUUUCAUGCCAGUGGCGACCAGCAAAUUGUUACGACUGACCACAGAGGCGGUAGUGGUGGGGGUGGUGCUGAUGAUGAUCGUGAACAACACCAGCAACUUUCAACCCAGCAAGAUCAACCCCAACAAGAUCAAGCGAACCAUGGUGAUGGGGCUGGUCUUGCUGCGGCACUUUCUCAGCUACACCUGGGUGAACCCAAAUCCGUCGAGCAGGAAGCGUACGAGGAGCACAUGCGCCGCCAAUGUUGGGAACAGGGCAACAUCGACUACAUGGGUCGUGAUUCGUUCGACAAUAUUUGGCGUCGCAUUCAGGAAACGCUGAAAGGUGCACCCCAGGAGGAGCCCGCUGCUGAGCCCGUCCCGGAUCCGGCUCCGGCUCCAGUCCCCGUCCGAGUUUCUCCACCGCGUCGCCGCUCGUCCAAGUCUCGGUCCCGUUCGACCACACCGAAACGGGAUCCCCGGGAUCGGUCCCCGACUCCACAACCCGAGGACAAUGUACUCCUAGAGAAGAAGGAAGGUUAUCAACAGGUAAUCACCACAAAGACCCCAGAAGGUAAGACUCGUACGGAGACCAAAACCGUCUACGAUCCAAGCGUUGAUGACGACAACCCAGCCGUCGAUGUGGUCGAUGCACCGAUGACAGUCACUUUGACCUCCUUGGUCGAGAGCAGAAUCGAACCGGUCAAACCCUUGGAACCACCAAUCGUACCGAUUAAUGUAUCCAUCCAACCCAUCAAACCAGUAGAACAAAAGGUGGAAGCCAUACCAGCAUCGAAAAGAGAAGCCACACCCCCACCUCCUCGCACGGAGCGGAAACCAUCACCACCCCGAGUAUCGCCAAGACCUCAGAUGCAGCAACAGGUUGCUCAGGAAUCGAUGGCAGGUAAAGCCCCAACCGCCGAACCGGUAAAAUCUACUCGCCGCAAGCGGGUUACACCACCACAAGCCACACCUCCAUCACCGUCUCUCGCCACUACUACAAAACCAACAACUACUACUACUACUAGUACUGCCUCUGUUCAAAUUGCGCCACCUCCGCCAAAACCAACUACCGUUCCGUCUAAGACUGCAACGGGCUCAAGUAAAUCAUCACAGUCAACCAACACUCCAACCAGCAAGCGCUCUAAGUCAUCAAAAUCGUCCAAGUCUGCCACCACCACCACCACCUCCUCUAUCACUUCGAACAAUCAUCAACCUCCGCCGCCGUCGUCACCAUCGAUGACCAAAAGCAGCACCCCAUCUACAUCGUCCACCUCUAAGUCGAUUGAUGAGCUAGACACCGUUCCAUUAACCGUCAGUGACGAACAGACGGAUCCCACUGGAACACAAGCGGAACAACCGGCGGUACCACCCCGCCGCAAACGGGAAAGUAAAAUUUCCCGCAUAGGUAAAGCCAACAAGUAGGGCAUGAGCUCUUGCUACCAUUACCGCACGCACGUAAUUCUCUACUUUAUCGACAUCGGAUCACCACCUCCCCCUUCUUGAUGAAACAUUUCAUCAUCCUAAUUUUUGGGUGUAAAACGUCAAUUACCUUCACAUACACGAACCCCAAUCAAUACACGUGUAUUAAUACUCGAGCCAACUCGACGCCUGUUCGGUCACCUGUUAUAGAUAGCAAUAGAUAACGAAAUUCUUCCGUGCCCUCUGUACGAUAUUGUGAAAUUGGGCCCAUGAUCUCAUUCCGAUCCGAGAUAUGAGAUCCAAGUAUGCCGCAAUCGCUCAAGUAACCCCUAUUGGUUUACACUAUAUCCUACCAUUGCUACUAUUGCUACUGCUAUUACCACUUGCUACCUACUACCGCUACUACCACUACAACUAAUGCUAAAUGCUGUUAGAUACAUACAUUUGCAUUUUAUCGAUACCAUCGUUAUAACGAUUUUGAGUAUAAAUUUACUAAAUUGUAGCCGCUGAAAUCGGUGCCGUCAAAGGUUUUCUUCUUAUU
This is an RNA transcript of Sabethes cyaneus, 3961 nucleotides long. It is a transcript of the gene named transcription factor SPT20 homolog, with no coding region annotated. The transcript has 8 exons. Lineage: Eukaryota; Metazoa; Arthropoda; Insecta; Diptera; Culicidae. The record is from RefSeq and is a predicted model, not a curated record.